ACCACCAAGACUACAAUUUAUGCUGCCCGAGCUGCAUCACCAAAGAGCCCUAGUACUACAUCGUGAUUCCAUUUUUUUAAAGCAAAAUCCAUUGGGUUUUAAUUUUGAUAUUGUUUUUUGCAGACCCAUCCCCAGCAACGUCAACCUGCAGAAGGAAAGGCCAGUUUGUAUGUCGUUCACUUUCAAAGGUCACGGAGAUCAUUACGUAAAACUGUCAAUGCGGUGGUGUAGAGGUUGGGUGAGAACGGGAAGCGUUUGCCUCAUUUUCAAGCAGGUAAAUAGCCGCAAGGCUUAAGAGAGGGGUCAGGGUGAGAAAAAGUAGUUUAAAAGGAGAGAGAAAAGGCCAAAAAAAUCAGUUGAGUGAGCAUCUCUGACACGGCAACAACUGCUGUACACUAUUUGUCACCAACUGCAUUCUCGAACGUAAUACCAGUUCGCAACCAAAUGUUAACUAUGGCGUCGUGCUGCUGUUGGUUGUUGUAUCCUUGAUGGUUGGGUCGACCACUGGUGUACCGAUGUUUCGUGGGUAUGGUUGAUACCAAACCGCAACGCCGCCGUCUAACACAACAACAACGUGCGCAACAACCGCAUACUUCACUACCAAGGCCGCUGAGUAUUACACCACAACCUGUGAUGUCCCGAACUACUUCACCGAAGCCUCAAAGUAUAAUUCUGCCUCGAGUUACACCACCAAGGCAGCGGAGUACUACACCACCAAGGCAGCGGAGUACUACACCACCAAGGCAGCGGAGUACUACACCACCAAGGCAGCGGAGUACUACACCACCAAGGCAGCGGAGUACUACACCACCAAGGCAGCGGAGUACUACACCACCAAGGCAGCGGAGUACUACACCACCAAGGCAGCGGAGUACUACACCACCAAGGCAGCGGAGUACUACACCACCAAGGCAGCGGAGUACUACACCACCAAGGCAGCGGAGACACCACAAACUACGAUUCCGCAAUUUUCUACAUGAAAAUUUCUAAAUACUCGAGCCGAAAUUUCUGUCAGGUUAUUUAUAUUUGUCGGUUAUUUUAUGAUCAUUGGUCACUGGAAAUUAAUUAUUGAUCUUAAAAGAGAAAAUUAAAGUUUUAAUACGGGUAAUUCUUUUGUAAUACUUUUGUUAGUAACUUCAAGUUUGUCAACUUUGCGUCAGUUGUCUAUUGGUGUUGGAUUUCUUCAAGACCGGUAUGCUGAAUUGUGAAUUGUUUAUUUUAUGGUUUAGAGGUGACUACUGCCUUAUUCAUAUGGACAUGUUCUU
Daphnia pulex (common water flea) is the source of this 1265-nucleotide long non-coding RNA. RefSeq lists it as uncharacterized. Lineage: Eukaryota; Metazoa; Arthropoda; Branchiopoda; Diplostraca; Daphniidae. The transcript is spliced from 2 exons. The record is from RefSeq and is a predicted model, not a curated record.